RNAcentral lists this small nucleolar RNA (77 nucleotides) under Spermophilus dauricus (Daurian ground squirrel). The record is from RNAcentral. Lineage: Eukaryota; Metazoa; Chordata; Mammalia; Rodentia; Sciuridae.
AUGCACUAAAUUAACAUUUGGAGGUAAACUGGCAGCAUGACUAACUUGGCCAAGCUGUCGGUCACCUUCAGACAAGU